RNAcentral lists this long non-coding RNA (988 nucleotides) under Mus musculus (house mouse). RNAcentral's name for it is "long non-coding RNA chr16:43619868-43620856". Lineage: Eukaryota; Metazoa; Chordata; Mammalia; Rodentia; Muridae. The record is from RNAcentral.
UAGAGGGGCAAAAGUGAUGUUUACCAGAUAGAAUGCUGAUUUUUUUAAUAUAUUUACAACAGUAUUUGUGUAAAAAAAACAAAAAAGUGAGAUUGUUAAAAGUGAUUUUUUUCUCCUUUUGGUUCCGCAUACACUGCCGUCGUUCCCUUUACUUUGUCUCACACAUAUAUAUAUUUUUUGGUAAGUCAAGACUGUUAAGGUUAGCGAUACUGCUUCCAGAUAGAAAGAAUAGAAGGCAACUAAAGUUAUAUUUGAAAGAGAGGAAGGAUAUUUUCUUCAUAUUUUUUUUCUUAAUUUUUAUUAUUUUAAAGUAUUGCCUGGGUUGCUAAGGGCCUCCGAGGCCCGCCCACCCUGCUGUAAUUUCAACUGCUGCUCUGUUUUCGAUGCAUAGAUCUUUGACUUCUAGCAGGCUUCAGUGGAGCGAGCCACUGAACAGUUAUCACCUAUCUAUCUAGAAUUCUGUCCUUUAUCAUGGGAGGGGUGUGCUCUUUUACAAGCAGAUUUCUUCCUUCUCCAAAAUUUCACUGAGCUCUUAGGAUUCUAGAGUUCCAUGAGCCUUGCUUUGUUUCCUCUGGUGAAACACUAGUGGUCCAGACACCUUGACACAGGGGUCUGUUUCCUUCAUGGUCCUCACUCCUCUCCCCUGCCUGCUCACCCUCUCAGAGCACUGUGUGGGCGUCACUCUGAGAAGCCUGUUACAAACCACAGUGCAUUGAUGCCAAAACUCCUCCCUUCCUUUCACGGCCUCUGACUGCCCACCAUAGCUCACAGGGCUGAGUUAGGAUGGUCAUUCUUUAGUUGAUUGUUGACUCUUGCUUUUUUGGAGGAAUUAACAGUUUCUCUGUGCUAACAUCCAACUUUCAAAAGGCCAUGAAUCUCCAGCAUCAUCCUGGAUGCUGCUCUUUCUAGUUGGGAUUUCUCUCUUUGGUGUUGAUCAAGAAAUCAUAAGAUUUUCCAAUUAUAUACAGAGUCCUGAAGGGGUUCCAGC